Molecule: long non-coding RNA, 726 nt
Organism: Myotis davidii
Lineage: Eukaryota; Metazoa; Chordata; Mammalia; Chiroptera; Vespertilionidae
Exons: 2
Source: RefSeq, a predicted model, not a curated record
ACGACACGUACUCCGCAUUGCAGCGCAGGAUCUUGCACUGAGAAGAGCUGCAGUUAUAACCCCUCUCUCAUCCGAUAACUGAGUGCAACCCACGCAUGCACAACAACACCUGCUUGCACGGAGUCCACAGCUCUUGAGUAUUUCCAAACCUGGCUGAGGAAUCACUUUUCCCGUUAACCUUCCCUUUGCACAUUUAGAAGUUCUCAGUCUCUGGACGAGGAGGGGACUUGGCGAGGGGCCUGCCUCCCCUGGGGUAAGGGUAUGCCUAGGGGACGGGCACAGGAGGGAGAGUAGGACCGCAGGUCUGGAGUUGUGGGGAGAAAUCAUUUUUGACGAGGAGUGGCCACCAUCCUUGGAAGCCCAAUGCCAAGGGCACCGCUAAGCGGGGAUGGGGUAGACGAAUGUCAUGACUAAUCAUGUGAGGCUAAAUUUGGCCUUGAUGAGAAAACCACAGACUCAGGGGUGUGGGACACUCCUGCUAAGGAAGGCUGCCUCCUCUGAAGCCUGGAGGGAACCAGGUGAAGAGAGAGCUGGAACUGCCCGAGGGGAGCCCGAGGCUUAAACUUCGAGUGGCUCGAGGCCAGAAAGAAAUCAGACAGAAGGAGGAAUGCAGAUUGGGGCACCUUAGCCUGGAAGAGAUCGUAGCUUUUGGACCAGAGAUAUCAGUUGCAAUUCUGUGAAAGUCUCACUUCAAUCCAAAAGCGUAUUAAAGGAAUUGCAAUUUCA